CUACUACUCCCUCCGUCCGAAAAUACUUGUCAUUGAAAUGGAUGUAUCUAGAUGUAUUUUAGUUCUAGACACAUCCAUUUUGGUGACAAGUAAUUCCGGACGGAGGGAGUAUUAU
Triticum aestivum (bread wheat) is the source of this 115-nucleotide non-coding RNA. The record is from Rfam. Lineage: Eukaryota; Viridiplantae; Streptophyta; Magnoliopsida; Poales; Poaceae.